Long non-coding RNA from Homo sapiens (human), 2890 nucleotides. Ensembl annotates it as HLA complex group 18. Its record names the gene HCG18. The record is from Ensembl. NCBI's taxonomy places the organism in Eukaryota, Metazoa, Chordata, Mammalia, Primates, Hominidae.
UUAGAGGAUCCUGUUUGGUAGUUAAAACCGUAUUAAAAUAGAGAGGGAAGAAAUUAAGCCUCCUUGAUGGUGAAGAGAUUGGGAACCACCACUCCAGUGUUAGAAAAUGUCAAAUGACAGAAGGUGGGCUAUAUUAAGUGGGAAUUUCCAAACCCCACCCCCUGGAAGGAAGGAAUGCUUGGUGACAAGCCUUAGAGGAGAGAGAUGCUUGUCUAGCCCAUUGCCUGUGUGCCCAGGAAGAGAUGUGCAUACCUUGAGAUAUAGAGAAGACUCUAGUGGGGAGAAGCCCCAGGCCAGCUUGUCAGCACAGGGCAUCGGAGGCCCCCAACCAGCUCCAAGUUCUGAACAGCACACAGCCUUCAAAGGCUUGUACUGCUGCUCAUACCCAGCAGAGGCCUUGCACCAGGCCUCCCCAUGCAAAUCAGUGUCCCCGCAGCGUAGGUAAAGGAGCUCUAGCUGUGCUCCCUAUGGGGGAACAGAUAUACCGUGGGACACUGAGAGACUGGAAGAUUGCCCAACAUUUAUUUACUGAUCUGUGUUCACCACAGAACCUAAGGUAUUUAUUGGUAUUGUUUCAACCAGUACGAGUGAUUCUUUCAUUUAGUGGUCAUCUCUGCACUCCACCACAGACUUUUGGGAAUUACAAGAUGAAAAGGGCCACAUCCUCACCCUGGCAUAGCUCAGAAAAUUUGGUUGGGGAAGUAGGGACAUAGACGUGAUCACUACACCAUAAUUUACUAAGCUGUGAGAACUGGAGGUGCAUCAGUGACCAGAGUGCAUUUGAGCCAGAGGUAGAAGGUACUGUAGACAAAAGGAACAACAUGCGCUCUAGGCUGUAUCAUUAGGUACAAUUUUCUGUCCUUGGGGGAGUCUUUUUAACCCUAAGACAAAAAUUAUGAAUAUAGAAAGAGGCCACGGUUCAUCUUUGCAAUUCUUUCAGGAGAAAAUUUGCUGCAACUCACUUUCUAAGUUUAAAAAAAAAAAGAGUAAAUGAUAUGAAUAUCACCUGAAAGAAUUUGAGGUCUCAAACUUGGGAGGAUCUUUGAACAACAAUCUUGGGGAAUGCCUAACAGUUCAUACUCAUUUCUUGAUAUCUACAGAUGGAAACUCUACAGCCUUACAUAUAUUUCUUUUUUCUUUUAACUACUUUAUACUCACAGAAAAUCAGUGUUCAGCACUUCUAAUAGCAGGUCUAGUGGAAGCUUGAGAUCAGAACAGAGUUCCAUAAAGGGAAACUGAGGGCACACAAGGCAGAGCAGUACCCCCUUAUCCAUGGGGACCUGUCUGACUGGAAGUAAGGGAGAAGAUUCUACUCCACAGAGAAUCAGGGAAGGUUAAAACUGUGUGUGUUUGUGACACUUUUGCUCUCUUGGGCCCAGAUACAGGCCGGAAAUCCUUUGGGUUCUGGUGACUCAAAGUGUGGCCAAAAGGACCAGCAGCUUUAGCUUCUCUGGGAGAACAUAUGAGUGCAGAAUUUCAGGCCUGCACCAAGUUUUUAAACGUCUGCAUUUUAACAAGCUGCUCUUAAUUUGCUUACGUAUUAAAAUUUCCAGAAGCACUGUUCUAGGACCAUCUUUAAGUGUUAUCCAAAAACAUGUAAGAUCUUUUUUCAAAGCAAAUUCUCAAGCUCUACCCUAGAGGGAUUGCUUCUGGUUCUCUGGGGUUGGUGCAGGAAUCUACAUUUUCGGCAAGUGCCUUAGAUCCUUGUGCACACUAGCAUUUGAGGAUUGCUGCCUUAGAUGGUGGGAAAUCUGAGCAGGGGAGGGCUGUGGGCUGAAAAUGAAAUGAUGAUGUUUAGGAACUGGCACAAGCAUGCUUCUGCUCCUGGUGGGAAGCAGUGGGACAGAUCCAGUUGAUUGUAGAGAAUGCAGACCUCGUGUCAUGCUCAAGUGUCACCUUAAUGUAAUGGCUGGAGACAGCCACAUAUGACCCUCUCAUUGUCCAGUCAGUAAGCUCAAUCAAUGACAGGAACCACUGACUCUGGUAAUUAAAAACUUAUUGUGGCCGGGCACAGUGGCUCACGCCUGAAAUCCCAGCACUUUGGGAGGCAAAGGUGGGCAGAUCACCUGAGGUCAGGAGUUCAAGACCAGCCUGGCCAACAUGGUGAAACCCCAUCUCUACUAAAAAUACAAAAUUAGCUGGGCGUGGUGGGGUUGCCUAUAAUUCCAGCUACUCAGGAGGCUAAGACAGGAGAAACACUUGAACCCAGGAGGUGGAGGUUGCAGUAAGCUGAGAUCGCAUCAUUGCACUCCAGCCUGGGCAACAAGAGUGAAACUGUCUAAAAAACAAACAACAACAACAACAACAAAAACACUUAUUGGUGGGCAGGUUCUCAUAAGAGGCCAUGGGAAAGCCAUGUCCUAUCUCAGGGACACAGGGUCAUCUGGGCCUCUGGCUAAUAGAGGCCAAAUAAUGGGACUAUUUUCCCUGUGAAAUCCUGAAAACCAAAAAUGGUGGCGUCUUUAUCUGCAUUAGCAGAGGUAAUUUGCUCCUUCUUGAAAUCCAAGGUCACGUCUACUGUCUGGGGAUUUUGAUCCAGGGUCAGUGUGGUUUCUCCUUUACAGGAGAGCCGAGUCUCAGAAAGGUGAGGUGGUUUGUGUUGGUCAUUGGCUACCUCAGAUUUUAGAGCAGCUCUACCUUGAUUGUGGGGUUGACCUAAUUUUUUUUGCUGUCUUCUUUCUUCUCCAGGUGAGGAAAGAGGACUUCCUGUAUAUCUCUAUCCUUUUGUUUCCAUUACUCACUUUCUGUGGCUGCUGCUGCAGAAGCCACUGCUGACUGAUGUGGAUACCUCAAUCUUUGGUUUACAAAAAGCCUAGGUGUCUUUUGGCCUCUCUCCAGGUUGAUAGCCAUGGCUCCUGAAAGAAAUAAAAGAUGAUCAUCUUUCUAAAAA